CAAACAGGGACUGAUUCUACAGUACCCAUAGUUAGGAGUGAUUGGACUAGGAGAUUUUAUGGGGAUGGCAAUGGGGGUGUAUGUGUGUGUGUGUGUGUGUGUGUGUGUGUGUGUGUGUGUAUAUAUGUGUGCAUCUCCUGUUCCUUUGACACUAUUCCAUGUGGACCUUGAUAGGAUUGUGUGUGUGUGUGUAUAUAUAUAUUUCUUUUAAAAAUGUUAGUAACAAAAUUGUAGCUUAUAUUUCAUCUGUGCUUCAAUUAAAAGAUUCAUUCUAUGCGUCUGUCAUUCCUUCAUUAACUGAAGUAUUGCAACGUACACCUGCACACCCUCUGAAAGAGGGUUCUUCUUGAAAUAAGAUGAUUGCGCUCAAUGCAAGUGUUCUGUCCUGAGUGUUCCCCAUGCAAAUUGAAGCAGCAAGCCUUGUGAGAAGGGAGAUAGAGGAAGACGAUGAAGAGCACUGCUCUGCUGUGAUAUCCACUAAAGGAGGUGAAACCCCGCUGCAGCUGCCAUGCCAACACUUAAACUUUGUGUACUGCAAGCCACCAUCACGUCAGAGAAGAUGCACCAGGCACAAGACCAUGAGGACAUCGGAUCCAAAGAGAGUAAGCUGGGAGUAUAAAGCAGAAUGGAACCAAAUUCAUCCACUGCAGUUGACGGUUACACUAGGGUCUGAAUUUGGCCCAGUGCAUUUAACCACCUUCACCAUGUUCCUGUGA
Molecule: long non-coding RNA, 716 nt
Filed under: Chrysemys picta bellii (western painted turtle)
Lineage: Eukaryota; Metazoa; Chordata; Testudines; Emydidae
Description: lncRNA (ENSCPBG00000027277.1)
Source: RNAcentral